UACGAAGGGGGCUAGCGUUGCUCGGAAUCACUGGGCGUAAAGCGCACGUAGGCGGAUCUUUAAGUCAGGGGUGAAAUCCCGGAGCUCAACUCCGGAACUGCCUUUGAUACUGGGGAUCUUGAGUCCGGAAGAGGUGAGUGGAACUCCGAGUGUAGAGGUGAAAUUCGUAGAUAUUCGGAAGAACACCAGUGGCGAAGGUGGCUCACUGGUCCGGUACUGACGCUGAGGUGCGAAAGCGUGGGGAGCAAACAGG
Molecule: ribosomal RNA, 253 nt
Filed under: uncultured bacterium
Lineage: Bacteria
Description: partial 16S ribosomal RNA
Rfam family: Bacterial small subunit ribosomal RNA
Source: RNAcentral